Small nuclear RNA from Mus spicilegus (steppe mouse), 96 nucleotides. The record is from Ensembl. NCBI's taxonomy places the organism in Eukaryota, Metazoa, Chordata, Mammalia, Rodentia, Muridae.
GAGAGAGAACACAUACACUAACAUUGGAAGCAUACAGAGAUUAGCAUGUCCUUGCUCAAGGAAAACAUGCAAAUUUGUGAAGCGUUCCAGUUUUUA